GAAAGAGUUAACUUUUCUUGGUGGCUAUUUUGACAUCAUUUUGCUUUAUCUUUAUAGUGGCCAUAACUUACAUUUUCUUUCACUUCAAAGGGUUUUCUCUUAGUUUUGUCCAGACUUAGUGUCCGCAAUUCCUGCUAUAAUUUCUGAUAUGACAGUUCGUAAACUAAGUUUCACCUCUUCCGUACAAUGGUACCUUAUAAAAUUUAGAAAGUAAAAUUAAAUUAUUUAAUCUUCUCUGUCACAAAUGUCUGGGUUUAGAAUUGAUUAUAUUCCAUUAGCAUUUAGACAGUCUGUCCAACCCCUGUUCUCCUUAUCACUUGGUUUGUAUAUACUAUGCAUUCCUUUAG
Non-coding RNA from Pelobates cultripes (western spadefoot toad), 347 nucleotides. The record is from the annotation of a GenBank genome assembly. Lineage: Eukaryota; Metazoa; Chordata; Amphibia; Anura; Pelobatidae.